This 661-nucleotide ribosomal RNA is filed under the name Anophryoides haemophila. Its description in RNAcentral is "partial Bacterial small subunit ribosomal RNA". It matches the Rfam family "Bacterial small subunit ribosomal RNA", at positions 321 to 960 of the family's 1533-position model. The record is from RNAcentral. Lineage: Eukaryota; Ciliophora; Oligohymenophorea; Philasterida; Glauconematidae.
GAGACACGGUCCGGACUCCUACGGGAGGCAGCAGUGGGGAAUAUUGGACAAUGGGCGAAAGCCUGAUCCAGCAAUACCGCGUGUGUGAAGAAGGCCUUCGGGUUGUAAAGCACUUUAAGUUGGGAAGAAAAAACUUCAAUUAAUACUUGAAGUCUUGACGGUACCGACAGAAUAAGCACCGGCUAACUCUGUGCCAGCAGCCGCGGUAAUACAGAGGGUGCUAGCGUUAAUCGGAUUUACUGGGCGUAAAGCGUGCGUAGGUGGUGGUUUAAGUCUGCUGUGAAAGCCCUGGGCUCAACCUGGGAAUUGCAGUGGAUACUGGGUCACUAGAGUGUGGUAGAGGGAUGCGGAAUUUCUGGUGUAGCAGUGAAAUGCGUAGAGAUGUGGAGGAAUACCGAUGGCGAAGGCAGCCAUCUGGCCUAAUACUGACGCUGAGGUACGAAAGCAUGGGGAGCAAACAGGAUUAGAUACCCUGGUAGUCCAUGCCGUAAGCGAUGAGUGUUCGUCCUUGGUCUGCCUGCCUACUAGGUAGGAUUAGGAUCAGGGGCCCAGCUAACGCGUGAAACACUCCGCCUGGGGAGUACGGUCGCAAGACUGAAACUCAAAGGAAUUGACGGGGGCCUGCACAAGCGGUGGAGCAUGUGGUUUAAUUCGAUGCAAC